CGGGGACAACACUGGAAACGGUGGCUAAUACCGGAUGUGCCGAAAGGUGAAAGGUUAACUGCCUGAAGAUGAGCUCGCGUCUGAUUAGCUAGUUGGAAGUGUAAUGGACUCCCAAGGCGACGAUCAGUAGCUGGUCUGAGAGGACGAUCAGCCACACUGGGACUGAGACACGGCCCAGACUCCUACGGGAGGCAGCAGUGGGGAAUUUUCCGCAAUGGGCGAAAGCCUGACGGAGCAAUACCGCGUGAGGGAGGAAGGCUCUUGGGUCGUAAACCUCUUUUCUCAGGGAAGAAAAAAAUGACGGUACCUGAGGAAUAAGCAUCGGCUAACUCCGUGCCAGCAGCCGCGGUAAUACGGAGGAUGCAAGCGUUAUCCGGAAUGAUUGGGCGUAAAGCGUCCGCAGGUGGCAAUGUAAGUCUGCUGUUAAAGAGUCUAGCUCAACUAGAUAAGAGCAGUGGAAACUACAUAGCUAGAGUACGUUCGGGGCAGAGGGAAUUCCUGGUGUAGCGGUGAAAUGCGUAGAGAUCAGGAAGAACACCAGUGGCGAAGGCGCUCUGCUAGGCCGUAACUGACACUGAGGGACGAAAGCUAGGGGAGCGAAUGGGAUUAGA
Molecule: ribosomal RNA, 611 nt
Filed under: Nostoc commune SykoA C-020-11
Lineage: Bacteria; Bacillati; Cyanobacteriota; Cyanophyceae; Nostocales; Nostocaceae
Description: bacterial SSU rRNA
Rfam family: Bacterial small subunit ribosomal RNA
Source: RNAcentral